This 452-nucleotide ribosomal RNA is filed under the name uncultured bacterium. RNAcentral's name for it is "bacterial SSU rRNA". It matches the Rfam family "Bacterial small subunit ribosomal RNA", at positions 341 to 786 of the family's 1533-position model. The record is from RNAcentral.
UCGGAAGGCAGCAGUGGGGAAUAUUGCACAAUGGGCGCAAGCCUGAUGCAGCCAUGCCGCGUGUAUGAAAAAGGCCUUCGGGUUGUAAAGUACUUUCAGUCGUGAGGAAGGUGUUAAGGUUAAUAACCUUAGCAAUUGACGUUAGCGACAGAAGAAGCACCGGCUAACUCCGUGCCAGCAGCCGCGGUAAUACGGAGGGUGCGAGCGUUAAUCGGAAUUACUGGGCGUAAAGGGCACGCAGGCGGUUAAUUAAGUUGGAUGUGAAAUCCCCGGGCUUAACCUGGGAAUGGCAUUCAAGACUGGUUAGCUAGAGUCUUGUAGAGGGGGUAGAAUUCCAUGUGUAGCGGUGAAAUGCGUAGAGAUGUGGAGGAAUACCGGUGGCGAAGGCGGCCCCUGGACAAAGACUGACGCUCAUGUGCGAAAGCGUGGGGAGCAAACAGGGAUUAGAUACC